GAUGAAGAACGGAGCGAAAUGCGAUAAGUAGUGUGAAUUGCAGAAUUCAGUGAAUCAUCGAAUCUUUGAACGCACAUUGCGCCUCCUGGUAUUCCGGGAGGCAUGCCUGUUCGAGCGUCAUCAAAAACCUCAACCCAUGAUUCAUUGUGAGUUGGUUCUGCAUUGGACUCCUUGUGGGUCCUUUGCGAAAUCCAAUGGCGAAGAGCCACGCAACCAAAGCGUAGUAUAACUAUUUCGUUAUGGAAGCGUGGGUGCCUCUGCCGUAACCCCCAAUUUCUUAGUUUUUGACCUCGGAUCAGGUAGGGAUACCCGCUGAACUUAAGCAUAUCAAUAAGCGGAGGA
RNAcentral lists this unclassified non-coding RNA (342 nucleotides) under soil metagenome. RNAcentral describes it as "partial contains 5.8S ribosomal RNA, internal transcribed spacer 2, and large subunit ribosomal RNA". The stretch from base 1 to 120 matches the Rfam family "5.8S ribosomal RNA", at positions 35 to 154 of the family's 154-position model. The record is from RNAcentral.